UUAAUGUUUCUCGGAGAAAGUUAGUGUCGUACUGACCUUCAAUCAUCAGAGUUUGAUGUAAAAAUCGACUGCAUUUAGAAUUUUAUCAUAGCAGUGUGUUAAUUCAUUAAAGGAAAGCAAUGAAGCAAGUUAAAUCGUAACUUCAUACAUGCUUAAUAUCGUAAACUUGAAGCAUGUGCCUGUUGCAGUCCUGAUGGGUACAUUAUACAUUAAUAAUUUGUAUGACAUGGCAUUCACCAAUGCAGUCAGAUGAAAAUGUGGCUCAAACUAUUGAUGGAUGCCCCCCCGCUCUUUUACCUGUACCCUUGUUUGUUUCUUAAUAACUCUGUACUUAUGUGUAUCAAUCUGACUAUUGUUUUUCUUCAUUUCUUCCUUCGUAGAGAAUUGGAGCGUGUCCUUGCAGCCAUUGCAUAUCAAUGCAGUCGAAAUAUAGUAGGCAAUCAAGAUGCAUUUUAGCGGUGAUAUGCUUAUGAUCUUAUGGAUGGAAGCCCUAGAGUUCAAUUGCCAGGACUUUUUUCACAAGAGUUAGGAUCAGCUGGCCCCGAGUGCAAAGAACUUCAAGAAACAACAAAGAGUUGUUGAUGGAUAAUUCAGCCGGCUUGCUUCUCUGUUUGCCAAUUGUUUGGAGCUACGAGGUGUCCUAAAUCUCUAGUGCAAAAACUAU
Non-coding RNA from Triticum urartu, 664 nucleotides. The record is from RefSeq and is a predicted model, not a curated record. NCBI's taxonomy places the organism in Eukaryota, Viridiplantae, Streptophyta, Magnoliopsida, Poales, Poaceae.